UUCAGAUUAUUAACAAAAAUGUUAAAUAAUACUGGACCCAGGACAGACCCCUAGCCAUCUCCACUUGAUACCUCCUCUACCAGACAAGAUCUGUCCUACAGUCUGUAGAGGGCAUGGUCUGUUGAGAGCCCUCUUUCUUCUCCCAGCUGAAAAUGACAAGCACUGUCCUUAUUCUUCCAUCCCUUCAAAAGAACAGUUGAGAUUGCAUUUCCCGUGCAUUCUGCGCUGUGUGUCUAUACACGGUCAUACCCAGGUUUAGGUAUUUCCACUUGUUGAUUUUGUUAAAAUUACACUUGGCUGAAAAACAUCAGUUUUUCAGCUCACCCUAAUAGCAGCUAUUCCUAAUUAAAUUGUUACAAAAAGCAUGUUCAUGUCAUUCAUUCAAUUAAUUUUCUUCUAUACUUUGGUCUCAGAAUGGGAACACAGUGCUUUUCUGACCAGUUGCAUCAUAGGUGGACACCUCUGAGGCCCAGGGUCUCUCCACUUCCACCUCCGCGACUUCUAUUAGUGAGGUUUUUCUCUCUUUCUGUUGAUGAAUUCUGAGACAUGCUAAUAGUAGCCUGCGAGUCCAAUCCGGGGCCCCUAAACAAUCUGUCUUAAUCCCCUGUGCAUGGCCAAGCUUAAUAAGAUCAUAAAUCCAGGGGAGCUGUACCUUCCUUUAAAACAUCAGCAUGACAUUUGAUUUAUUAGCACCAAGCUGGUUAGUUACUGAGUAGUAUCAAUUGAGAAUGGUGAGCUACCAGAUGGCAACAGAGACAUAUAUCACACGGAGAGCAAUUCCUGUAUUGGCAUUUCAGCAGUGCCUCGUUAGGGUGAGCUCUGCACAGAUUUUAAGAGUAGCUGUUACUAUGGUGAAGUUUUAAUACCAUUACUAAUCAUCCUGAUUCUACGGCACCCUAUCUUGUUCACCAGCUGGGGUUAGUUGCCUGAGCCCAAAAAGCCAUGUUUUUGUUAGUAAAGUGCUAGAAGAGCUGCUGCUUCUUCCAGCAGUAUCUGUUCUGUGUCAUGCUCGUCAUCCCAGUGCUUGAUGGCUUGUCUCGCCUCGUUCAAAACUAUCUAUGUGUAUGAAUGUCAACACAUCUGGAACACCAUAUUCUUAUUAACCAGAGUCAGGAUUACAGUGCUUCUUCAGACAACAGUCUGGAAAUGGCACUGUCCUGCUAAAAACCUGAUGAAUUAUGGGAUACUAGGAAAGAAUACCUGAGAAUUUGAUCACCAAUUCAGUAGAUUUUGUUAGAUAUCCUAUAAUGGAUUGAGUAAUUGCAGCUUGCAUGGAGCCUAGUGGCAGAUCGUUACAUCAUGGUAUGCAGAGCUGUGUGGAUAAGAAACAAGUACAUGCCUAAUGGUUAUUGUGGCAGGUUGGACUUGGGAGACGUGGGUUCAGUUCUUUGCUAUGUCAAGCUUACACAACCUAGAAAGUCAGUUACAGUAUUUAGGAGGCUAUGUCAUUGAGUAAAUAUUUAUGUGCACAUCUUUUCUCUGGGCAUUUUCACAUCCUGACCCAUCAAUUGGAUACUUUUUGCUUUGGCUGCCCAGCCCUUCUCCUUUCUCUCCUGUCUCCCCCACCCCCCUCACUGACAAGUAAAGGUUGUUCUUUGCUUCUGUGCUCUUCAGUUCCUCUGUCACCUAGCCAUGAGCGUUUAGUAUCAGUGUGCUUAGUGGGCCUCAAUAUUAUUCAAAGCCUUUAUUCUGGUUUCUUUAAUCUAUUCCAGAGUUGUUCGGCCGGCAGCCCGUGGGCUGCAUGCAGCCCACACGGGGUUACAUGCUGGCCCCCAGGCUCUCGCCCAGCCACUACUUGCCCUGGCUGUUUCUGUAGCUGAGGUCUUUAGGCUCCCCCUUCCUCCAGCUUUCCCUUACCUAUCUUGGGGGCAGGGCAGUACAGUGUGGCACUGCCUGCAAUUCUGGGGAAGAUGAGCCUAGGGCAUCUGAGAGAGGCAGUUCAGUGGAGGAGUUGAGCGUGAGGUGUGGCACCUGGGUGUGUAAUGCAGUGCAGUGGGGGGCAGGAGCCACGAGGCAUGUGCACAGCAGGGGGAGAUCUAGGGCAUGUGUAUAGCAGGAGAACAUACUAAGCAGCAGGGGG
Molecule: long non-coding RNA, 2080 nt
Organism: Gavialis gangeticus (Gharial)
Lineage: Eukaryota; Metazoa; Chordata; Crocodylia; Gavialidae
Exons: 3
Source: RefSeq, a predicted model, not a curated record